GGAUGUGAGGAUGAUCUGCUUGUGGCAUCUGUCAUCUUUGCGAUUGCCAGGGUUGAUUUGGCUGAUAGGACUGGCGAGGCAGCUGUCCCCUUCCUUCCUCACUACUUCCUGUGACUCAUGCAAUAUUUUUAAAUACUACACAUAUUAUCGUAUUUUUAGGUAAGUCUGCCAUAAGGCAUUGAUAUAUUUAAU
Molecule: small nuclear RNA, 192 nt
Filed under: Camelus bactrianus (Bactrian camel)
Lineage: Eukaryota; Metazoa; Chordata; Mammalia; Artiodactyla; Camelidae
Also listed under: 1 other name
Description: 7SK RNA
Rfam family: 7SK RNA (bases 1-108)
About the family: 7SK was discovered as an abundant small nuclear RNA in the mid-70s but a possible function has only recently been suggested.
Source: Rfam by way of RNAcentral